This 408-nucleotide ribosomal RNA is filed under the name uncultured bacterium. Its description in RNAcentral is "partial 16S ribosomal RNA". It matches the Rfam family "Bacterial small subunit ribosomal RNA", at positions 28 to 526 of the family's 1533-position model. The record is from RNAcentral.
GACGAACGCUGGCGGCGUGCUUAACACAUGCAAGUCGAACGAAGUGGCGAACGGGUGAGUAACGCGUAAUCAACCUGCCCUUCAGAGGGGGACAACAGUUGGAAACGACUGCUAAUACCGCAUACUGAAGGAGGGGAUGGCGUCUGAUUAGCUAGUUGGAGGGGUAACGGCCCACCAAGGCGAUGAUCAGUAGCCUGUCUGGGAAGAUGAACGGCCACCUUUGGACUGGGAACCGGGCCAGGCUCCUACGGGGGGGAGCAGUGGGGAAUCUUCCGAAAUGGACGGAAGGCUGACGGAGCAACGCCGGGUGGGUGAAGACGGGCUUCGGGUUGUAAAGCUCUUUUAAUCGGGACGCGGUACCGGAAGAGAAAGCCACGGCUAACUACGUGCCAGCAGCCGCGGUAAUUC